Molecule: ribosomal RNA, 113 nt
Filed under: uncultured bacterium
Lineage: Bacteria
Description: partial 16S ribosomal RNA
Rfam family: Bacterial small subunit ribosomal RNA
Source: RNAcentral
UAGGGAAUUUUCGUCAAUGGGCGCAAGCCUGAACGAGCAAUGCCGCGUGAACGAGGAAGGUCUUCGGAUCGUAAAGUUCUUUGAAGGGGAAAAAGGAAGCGGAGAGAGGAAAU